UUCUCCUUAUAACAGUCCUCCCAGUGCCAGGGACAGGGGAUCAGCCUAUCUCUAUUUAUUUUAUAGACAUUAUAGAUUCUAUAGACAUCCAGAUCUUCCUUUUUCUUCUCAGCCCUGGGACUGUUGCUGGCUUGGAGGCAUUUUGGAAAUAAUGAAUUUACUGCACCUCUUGGUCGCCUCCCCCUUUUCCACCCCUAGGGGCAAAAGCCACUACAUUUCCUCUGGAGCAGCACAGAAUAAGGAAGCGUUGGGUUGUAUAUAGCUUUUUAUUAUUAGAUGUAGAUAGAUUAUUUUCCCUGUGCUCAGGAUUUUUCUCUUUUGUCCCCACCUUAUUUUUUUAUUUUUUUUCCCUCCUUGUAAUGUUUUCUUGAAGCUCCACACAGGCAGCAUCACUGGAUCAGACACAGGGAGAGAGAGAGGGAGAGAGAGAAGGGGAGAGGGAGACAGAGAUACAACAUGGGUUCCUGAGCACAAGGUCCCCGGUUACAACGCUAGUUCCUGUGGAGUGCGGCACCUAUGGACAUAGCUGCAAGCAUUACAAGAGAGAUAAGUCAUUCCAUAUCCCAUAGCUUUACCACCAAUGUUUCAGUAUUUAGAGUAUGAAAUAUAAUCUACACAGGGUAAAGACAGGCAAUGCAUAUGAAUAGUUGACAGUAUAUUGUUCACAUUCAUGCUAUAUCCAUUAGCUUUAACUGUUCCAAAAUGCAUAAUAUAAGAAUGUUUAGUUAUACACGUUAUGAAUAGUUGAGAGCAUAUAGUAUACAAGUAAUUAUGGGGCAAUUGUUUUAUUCAUAUGUAUGUAGCUUUGUAUGCAUCUAUUUUGAUAUCUAAAUCAUAAUGCUAAAUCAUUGCAUAAACAGUGUGAAUAUAUGCCUAUUCCUAGCCAACAGUAUGUAGUAGAGGGACAGUAAUCAGAGAAUAGCAUGGGGACAGUUCACUGUACAUAAGGGACUUCAUGUUAUUGAUAGUGAUUCUAUACCUAGAUGUGAUAUAUGAUUAAAAAUAUGACUAUGCAUAUAUACAAUUAUAUAGCAUGUAAACAGUUAACAGGACACAAAGAGUUAAUGCCAUAUGAUACAGAAGGAAUGCUAUUCCUAUUGAUAUCUCUGAUCAGAUAAUGACUCUCUCUCUUGUCUUUGCAGGGUGCUCAGACUGUGAAUAGGAGUCUCCAGGGUGCAAGAGGGAAUACACUACGUAUGGAGGACAGUGAACCCCAAUUACACUGGAGGGGAGCCCAAGAGGUCCAGAACUGCUUACACCAGGCAGCAAGUAUUGGAACUGGAGAAAGAAUUUCAUUAUAACAGAUAUCUGACCAGGCGAAGGCGCAUUGAGAUAGCCCACUCC
Bufo gargarizans (Asiatic toad) is the source of this 1344-nucleotide RNA transcript. Lineage: Eukaryota; Metazoa; Chordata; Amphibia; Anura; Bufonidae. The record is from RefSeq and is a predicted model, not a curated record.